This 244-nucleotide small RNA is filed under the name Pan troglodytes (chimpanzee). RNAcentral describes it as "retained intron". The record is from RNAcentral. Lineage: Eukaryota; Metazoa; Chordata; Mammalia; Primates; Hominidae.
AGGCCAAAUGUUACAAUGAACUUAAUGGAUGCACCAAGAUAUAUGACCCUGUCUGUGGGACUGAUGGAAAUACUUACCCCAAUGAAUGCGUGUUAUGUUUUGAAAAUCGGAAACGCCAGACUUCUAUCCUCAUUCAAAAAUCUGGGCCUUGCUGAGAACCAAGGUUUUGAAAUCCGAUCAGGCCACCGCGAGGCCUGACUGGCCUCAUUGUUGAAUAAAUGUAUCUGAAUAUCCCCUGUUGUUU